CCUACGGGAGGCAGCAGUGGGGGAUAUUGGACAAUGGGGGAAACCCUGAUCCAGCGACGCCGCGUGAGUGAAGAAGUAUUUCGGUAUGUAAAGCUCUGUCAGCAGGGAAGAAAGACAUGACGGUACCUGACCAAGAAGCCCCGGCUACCUACGUGCCAGCAGCCGCGGUAAUACGUAGGGGGCAAGCGUUAUCCGGAAUUACUGGGUGUAAAGGGAGCGUAGACGGUGAUGCAAGGCUGGAGUGAAAGGCGGGGGCCCAACCCCCGGAAUGCUCUGGAAACUGUGUAACUUGAGUGCAGGAGAGGUAAGCGGAAUGCCUAGGGUAGCGGUGAACUGCGUAGAUAUUAGGAGGAACACCAGGGGCGAAGGCGGCUUACUGGACUGUAACUGACGUUGAGGCUCGAAAGCGUGGGGAGCAAACAGGAUUAGAUACCCGAGUAGUC
Molecule: ribosomal RNA, 443 nt
Filed under: uncultured bacterium
Lineage: Bacteria
Description: partial 16S ribosomal RNA
Rfam family: Bacterial small subunit ribosomal RNA
Source: RNAcentral